This 479-nucleotide ribosomal RNA is filed under the name Hydraena duodecimata. RNAcentral's name for it is "eukaryotic LSU rRNA". It matches the Rfam family "Eukaryotic large subunit ribosomal RNA", at positions 743 to 1212 of the family's 3401-position model. Lineage: Eukaryota; Metazoa; Arthropoda; Insecta; Coleoptera; Hydraenidae. The record is from RNAcentral.
GUCGCCGCCCCGCACGCCCGGGGCGUCCCAUUCUCAUCGCGAGUGGGGGCGCACCCAGAGCGUACACGCUGGGACCCGAAAGAUGGUGAACUAUGCCUGGUCAGGACGAAGUCAGGGGAAACCCUGAUGGAGGUCCGUAGCGAUUCUGACGUGCAAAUCGAUCGUCGGAACUGGGUAUAGCGGCGAAAGACUAAUCGAACCAUCUAGUAGCUGGUUCCCUCCGAAGUUUCCCUCAGGAUAGCUGGCGCUCGCUCAUGCGAGUCUCAUCCGGUAAAGCGAAUGAUUAGAGGCAUUGGGGUCGAAACGGCCUCAACCUAUUCUCAAACUUUAAAUGGGUGAGAUCUCCGGCUUGCUCGAACUAUGAAGCCGCGAGACCUCGGAUCAGAGUGCCAAGUGGGCCACUUUUGGUAAGCAGAACUGGCGCUGUGGGAUGAACCAAACGCCGAGUUAAAGCGCCAAAAUCGACGCUUAUGGGAUAC